RNAcentral lists this ribosomal RNA (656 nucleotides) under uncultured archaeon. RNAcentral's name for it is "bacterial SSU rRNA". It matches the Rfam family "Archaeal small subunit ribosomal RNA", at positions 34 to 697 of the family's 1478-position model. The record is from RNAcentral.
UGGAGUCGAUUAGCCAUGCGAGUCCAGAGCUUUCGGAGCUCGGCGUACCGCUCAGUAACACGUGGGUAACCUCACCUAUGCAGGGGAAUAACCUCGGGAAACUGAGUAUAAUGCCCCAUAGUCCACUACGCCUGGAACGGUGAGUGGAUCAAAGCUCAGGCGGCAUAGGAUGGGCCUGCGGCGUAUCAGGUUGUAGGGGGUGUAAAGUACCCUCUAGCCAUCUACGCGUACGGGUGUUGGGAGACAUAGCCCGGAGAUGGAUUCUGAGACACGAAUCCAGACCCUACGGGGUGCAGCAGGCGCGAAAACUUGACAAUGCGAGCAAUCGUGAUCAGGGAACUCCAAGUGGCUGGGGUAAGACCCAGUCUUUUCAUAACUCUUCAAAGGUUGUAGAAUAAGGGGUGGGUAAGGACGGUGCCAGCCGCCGCGGUAAUACCGGCGCCUCAAGUGGUAGUCGCUUUUAUUGGGCCUAAAACGUCCGUAGCCGGUUUGGUACAUUCGUGGGUAAAUCAACUCGCUCAACGAGUUGAAUUCUGCGAGGACGGCCAGACUUGGGACCGGGAGAGGUGUGGGGUACUCUCAGGGUAGGGGUAAAAUCCUGUCAUCCUGAGAGGACCACCUGUUGCGAAGGCGCCACACUAGAACGGAUCCGACGG